RNAcentral lists this unclassified non-coding RNA (263 nucleotides) under plant metagenome. RNAcentral's name for it is "partial contains small subunit ribosomal RNA, internal transcribed spacer 1, and 5.8S ribosomal RNA". The record is from RNAcentral.
UUUCCGUAGGUGAACCUGCGGAAGGAUCAUUAUUGUAUAACCGAGGUGCGAGUGCUGUCGCUUACCCGAAAGGUCGUGCACGCCCGAGUGCCCUCACACACAUCCAUCUCACCCCUAUGUGCACCACCGCGUGGGUCCCCCUUUGGCUUGUUCGGAGGGGGGCUUACGUUUUCACACAAACUUUGUAUGCAGUGUAGAAUGUAUUUUUUGUUUUUGCGAUCACGCAAUCAAUACAACUUUCAACAACGGAUCUCUUGGCUCUC